RNAcentral lists this ribosomal RNA (494 nucleotides) under uncultured bacterium. RNAcentral's name for it is "partial 16S ribosomal RNA". It matches the Rfam family "Bacterial small subunit ribosomal RNA", at positions 28 to 506 of the family's 1533-position model. The record is from RNAcentral.
GACGAACGCUGGCGGCGUGCCUAAUACAUGCAAGUAGAACGCUGAAGGAGGAGCUUGCUUCUCCGGAUGAGUUGCGAACGGGUGAGUAACGCGUAGGUAACCUGCCUGGUAGCGGGGGAUAACUAUUGGAAACGAUAGCUAAUACCGCAUAAGAGUAGAUGUUGCAUGACAUUUGCUUAAAAGGUGCAAUUGCAUCACUACCAGAUGGACCUGCGUUGUAUUAGCUAGUUGGUGGGGUAACGGCUCACCAAGGCGACGAUACAUAGCCGACCUGAGAGGGUGAUCGGCCACACUGGGACUGAGACACGGCCCAGACUCCUACGGGAGGGAGCAGUAGGGAAUCUUCGGCAAUGGACGGAAGUCUGACCGAGCAACGCCGCGUGAGUGAAGAAGGUUUUCGGAUCGUAAAGCUCUGUUGUAAGAGAAGAACGAGUGUGAGAGUGGAAAGUUCACACUGUGACGGUAUCUUACCAGAAAGGGACGGCAAACUACGU